Long non-coding RNA from Monodelphis domestica (gray short-tailed opossum), 537 nucleotides. RefSeq lists it as uncharacterized. Lineage: Eukaryota; Metazoa; Chordata; Mammalia; Didelphimorphia; Didelphidae. The record is from RefSeq and is a predicted model, not a curated record.
CUCGUCACAAAACAACAUCCGCUCGCCCUAGCUAACCGCCAACCACUCUGCGCACGCGUAAAGAGGGGCUGGUGGUGAGGAAUUGUUGUUGAAUUGGAAGGGAAGGCUUGGAAAUGACAUAAAUGCAUCAUCCUAUGCAAUCAGUACACUCGGUCAAAUACCGCUCUACAACCAGAAAAAUAACCUAACGGCCAGAUGGGAAGGGACUUAAUAAAUUUAAGAAGGUUUUUCUCAGUCAGACGGCACACACUAGACUUCUGACUUGAAAAGGACGAUUAAAGAAGUGUUUCAAAGUUAGCCAUUUUCCUCUUCCGUAAGCCCGACGGGAAAUGAGGGAGGCUUUACGAUCAACUGACGUUCAAUCCCGUGACCCUUCUGACGUCAUUUCCGAAAGGAAGAAGCUACACAGCCAGACUGAGUAGAUGCUUUGUGCCCAGAAAACAAAAUGGCUGCCGCUGUCAGCGAUACGGAAUUCUCAGUGAAGUGAGUUUGGUAGCUCUAGCCUUGCUCCGCCCUUGCUGGGGUCGCCACCAGCUC